This 909-nucleotide ribosomal RNA is filed under the name Triticum aestivum (bread wheat). Its description in RNAcentral is "partial small subunit ribosomal RNA". The record is from RNAcentral. Lineage: Eukaryota; Viridiplantae; Streptophyta; Magnoliopsida; Poales; Poaceae.
UUUGAAUGCUCUAAAGUCGUAAAAGGAGAUUACGCUCUAACCUGUUGGUUUGAGUCACGUGCCGACGACUUAGCUUUUGCCGUAACCAACGUCUAUGUCCCAUGCGACUCUUUCUCUAAACCCAUCUUCUUGCAAUACUUGGUUGAUUUGAUGCCUGAUAUCUCCUGCCCUUGGGCAAUCAUCGGCGACUUCAAUAUUACCCUCCGGCCAUCGGAUAAAUCUUCAAGCCAUUUCAACAUGACCGAGGCCAAUCUCUUCUCCUCUACCAUUAACACUCUUCAACUUCAAGACCUCCCUCUACUUGAUAGAUGUUUUACCUGGUCGAACCAGCAACAAGUGCCAAUCCUAGUGCGGUUAGAUCGUGCUCUCGCCAACGUUGUGUUGGCUACAAAAUUCCCCGACACCUCCCUCUCAUCAGUCACCAGAACCACCUCCGACCACGUCCCCAUCCGUCUAGCAGCCGCUACAAGUAUCCCCCGAUCUACGAUUUUCUGUCUAGAUCGCGCUCUGCUUAAAAACACACAAUUCAAGGACAAGGUUAUUGCAAACUGGGCGAGCGUGGGCCCUCGCCAUGCUCACCUUGGCUCCGCCGGAGUUCUCUCCUUAAAGCUUAAGUGCACCAGAAAUAUGGCUAAGCAGUGGGUGGCCUCAUGUCGAUCUCCUAAGACCCUGGCUCUAAACUGUCACGCUACCAUAAACCUCCUGGACAAACUUGAAGAGGCUAGACCCCUCUCCCCGCUUGAAACUCACCUUCGAACAAUCGUCAAAACCACUCUGCACCGUCACAAUGCCGCCAUUGCCGCCUACUGGAGGCAACGUGCGAAAAUCAAGGACUGUGUUUUUGGUGAUGAGAACUCGGCCUAUUUGCAUAUGUGCGCUUCGGUUCGCCACCGGAAGAACCAAAUCUAA